UGCCUUACACAUGCAAGUCGAACGGCAGCACGGGGGCAACCCUGGUGGCGAGUGGCGAACGGGUGAGUAAUAUAUCGGAACGUGCCCUGGAGUGGGGGAUAACGUAGCGAAAGUUACGCUAAUACCGCAUACGAUCUAUGGAUGAAAGUGGGGGAUUCGCAAGAACCUCACGCUCCUGGAGCGGCCGAUAUCUGAUUAGCUAGUUGGUGGGGUAAAAGCCUACCAAGGCGACGAUCAGUAGCUGGUCUGAGAGGACGACCAGCCACACUGGGACUGAGACACGGCCCAGACUCCUACGGGAGGCAGCAGUGGGGAAUUUUGGACAAUGGGGGCAACCCUGAUCCAGCAAUGCCGCGUGAGUGAAGAAGGCCUUCGGGUUGUAAAGCUCUUUUGUCAGGGAAGAAACGGUUUAGGUUAAUACCUUGAACUAAUGAUGGUACCUGAAGAAUAAGCACCGGCUAACUACGUGCCAGCAGCCGCGGUAAUACGUAGGGUGCAAGCGUUAAUCGGAAUUACUGGGCGUAAAGCGUGCGCAGGCGGUUUUGUAAGCCAGAUGUGAAAUCCCCGGGCUUAACCUGGGAAUGGCAUUUGGGACUGCAAGGCUCGAGUGCGGCAGAGGAGACUGGAAUUCCUGGUGUAGCAGUGAAAUGCGUAGAUAUCAGGAGGAACACCGAUGGCGAAGGCAGGUCUCUGGGCUGACACUGACGCUCAUGCACGAAAGCGUGGGGA
RNAcentral lists this ribosomal RNA (729 nucleotides) under uncultured soil bacterium. RNAcentral describes it as "bacterial SSU rRNA". It matches the Rfam family "Bacterial small subunit ribosomal RNA", at positions 45 to 767 of the family's 1533-position model. The record is from RNAcentral.